Molecule: small nuclear RNA, 141 nt
Organism: Nycticebus coucang (slow loris)
Lineage: Eukaryota; Metazoa; Chordata; Mammalia; Primates; Lorisidae
Product: U4 spliceosomal RNA
Exons: 1
Source: RefSeq, a predicted model, not a curated record
AGUUUUGCACGGUGGCAGUAUUAUAGCCAAUGAGGUUUAUGUGAGGUAUAAUCACCGCUAAUUGAAAACUUUUCCCAAUACCCCGCCUUGAAAAUUUGCAAUGUAGUUGGCACUGGCAAUUUUUUUUUUUUUUUUUGGUAG